UACGAAGGGGGCUAGCGUUGUUCGGAUUUACUGGGCGUAAAGCGCACGUAGGCGGAUCGUUAAGUCGGGGGUGAAAUCCUGGAGCUCAACUCCAGAACUGCCUUCGAUACUGGCGAUCUUGAGUCCGGAAGAGGUGAGUGGAACUCCUAGUGUAGAGGUGGAAUUCGUAGAUAUUAGGAAGAACACCAGUGGCGAAGGCGGCUCACUGGUCCGGUACUGACGCUGGGGGUGCGAAAGCGUGGGGAGCAAACAGG
Molecule: ribosomal RNA, 254 nt
Filed under: uncultured bacterium
Lineage: Bacteria
Description: partial 16S ribosomal RNA
Rfam family: Bacterial small subunit ribosomal RNA
Source: RNAcentral